This 301-nucleotide ribosomal RNA is filed under the name uncultured bacterium. RNAcentral's name for it is "partial 16S ribosomal RNA". It matches the Rfam family "Bacterial small subunit ribosomal RNA", at positions 509 to 807 of the family's 1533-position model. The record is from RNAcentral.
CAGUAGCCACGGGAACACGAACCGUGCGAACGUUAUUCGGAAUUACUGGGCUUAAAGCGCGUGUAGGCGGGCCGCCACGUCGGUUGCUGAAAUCCCCCGGCUCAACCGGGGAAGUGGCAUCGAUACGAGCGGCCUUGAGGGGGGUAGGGGGAUCUGGAACUUCCGGUGGAGCGGUGAAAUGCGUUGAGAUCGGAAGGAACGCCCGUGGCGAAAGUGAGGUCCUGGACCCUUUCUGACGCUGAGACGCGAAAGCCAGGGGAGCGAACGGGAUUAGAUACCCGAGUAGUCCCUGUCUCUUAUU